AUCGAUGCUGUUUAGAGGCUCUCAGACUGUACCAAUCGAUGCUGUUUAGAGGCUCUCAGACUGUACCAAUCGAUGCUGUUUAGAGGCUCUCAGACUGAACUAAUCGAUGCUGUUUAGAGGCUCUCAGACUGUACCAAUCGAUGCUGUUUAGAGGCUCUCAGACUGAACUAAUCGAUGCUGUUUAGAGGCUCUCAGACUGUACCAAUCGAUGCUGUUUAGAGGCUCUCAGACUGUACCAAUCGAUGCUGUUUAGAGGUUCUCAGACUGUACUAAUCGAUGCUGUUUAGAGGCUCUCAGACUGUACUAGUCGAUGCUGUUUAGAGGUUCUCAGACUGUACUAAUCGAUGCUGUUUAGAGGCUCUCAGACUGAACCAAUCGAUGCUGUUUAGAGGCUCUCAGACUGUACCAAUCGAUGCUGUUUAGAGGCUCUCAGACUGUACCAAUCGAUGCUGUUUAGAGGCUCUCAGACUGUACCAAUCGAUGCUGUUUAGAGGCUCUCAGACUGUACCAGUCGAUGCUGUUUAGAGGCUCUCAGACUGUACCAAUCGAUGCUGUUUAGAGGCUCUCAGACUGUACUAGUCGAUGCUGUUUAGAGGCUCUCAGACU
Long non-coding RNA from Acanthochromis polyacanthus (spiny chromis), 606 nucleotides. RefSeq lists it as uncharacterized. Lineage: Eukaryota; Metazoa; Chordata; Actinopteri; Pomacentridae. The transcript has 5 exons. The record is from RefSeq and is a predicted model, not a curated record.